AGGCCGGGCACACUCCAUGACUUCCACAGUCAUGAAAUUGCAGAGCAGCUCACUCUGUUGGAUGCUGAACUCUUCUACAAAAUAGAGAUACCAGAGGUUCUGCUUUGGGCAAAAGAGCAAAAUGAGGAGAAGAGCCCAAACCUCACUCAGUUCACUGAGCACUUUAACAACAUGUCAUACUGGGUCCGAUCGAUCAUUAUGCUUCAGGAAAAAGCACAAGAUCGGGAGAGGCUGCUGCUUAAAUUCAUAAAGAUCAUGAAGCACCUGAGGAAGCUAAACAAUUUCAACUCGUACCUUGCCAUCUUGUCUGCUCUGGAUUCUGCACCCAUCCGCAGACUGGAGUGGCAG
This is a long non-coding RNA of Bombina bombina (fire-bellied toad), 348 nucleotides long. RefSeq lists it as uncharacterized. The transcript has 4 exons. NCBI's taxonomy places the organism in Eukaryota, Metazoa, Chordata, Amphibia, Anura, Bombinatoridae. The record is from RefSeq and is a predicted model, not a curated record.